Molecule: long non-coding RNA, 2240 nt
Filed under: Rattus norvegicus (Norway rat)
Lineage: Eukaryota; Metazoa; Chordata; Mammalia; Rodentia; Muridae
Description: long non-coding RNA NONRATT001957
Source: RNAcentral
CCAGCUUCACCCCAUAAUUUUUUUUAAAAAAAUUUCAUUUUUUACAUUUAAAAAAAAUGCAAGUUUUUUUUUCCCAAAGAAAUGGAGAGUCCUGUGGCUGCUAUCCCGGCCUAAUGCCAGUUUUUAACCAUGUUGGGUUGUGCUGCAGGGAAAUGCCAGUUAGCCUGUUGCUUCUUUAACACAGCUGCCUGUGAACAAAGAAGCGCUGAUAGAUGUCUCCCGGUGGGGGUGCUGUUGGUAUUUGGAUCUGGGUAAAUCCUUGCUGUGCUGAAAUGUACCACAUGUUGCAAGAUGUUCAGUAUCCUGGGCUCCUGGUGACUCAACACCAGACAUUGUGAGAACCGGAAAAAAAGAAAAGAAAAGAAAAGAAAAGAAAAGAAAAGAAAAGAAAAGAAAAGAGAAGAAAAAAGCUUCCCGUUUGCCUGCAUAGAAGGAUAAACCCCUCACCUGAGUGCCACUGUCUCCUGCAACAAGGGUACAUGGGGGAACCUGCCUGUCUCUAAAUACCAUGUCUACUGCCUUGCACGUCUCUACCCACUUCUCUUUCAAAGCCUUCUGCUUAGAUGCAGCUUAAACUGGCCUGUUCCCUAGAAAAGAGCUUCCUAGGUAGUCUUGUCCAUUACGGUGGGCAGCGUGACAUGGCCUGAUAUUUCUGGAGGGUACACGAAGCAAGUCUUGUUCAUUACUUCUGUGUUACUUCAGAACUAGACUCCUGGUUGCCAGAACACAGUGUCUCUGAGUAAAACACUGGUCUUUGGAACUCAGCAUUGGAUUCUACCUGGUCAUACUGAAGACCGAGUUGCAAAAAGAGUCUCCCUUCCUCCUGUUGACAACGGAGUUAAUCCACACAAAAAGACACGGGGACUCCCUCGUGUAAACAUCCACACGGUUCCGCUUUCCUAAUAAGACGUGCAAAUAUGACAUGUUGGCAGGAACGUAGGUAAACUGGAUUGCAUUCAUGCUGUUCACACCACAGACGGGCAAAACGAAAUGAGUUUUCCCCCAGGUGUAGCUCGAUCAAGCUGUGCUAACCGUACAGAAAGACGCUCUUUACGCCACUGAAAUUAAAUAGUCAGUGGGUCUUGAAAAAUAUUUAGAUGAAUUGCAGCUAGCUGCAAGGAUGGAAUUAAUUCCUCCCAUUCUUCACAUUAAAAUUCUGAAGACUCCCCGCCCCUCCCCCUUCUUUUAAGCAUAGCAACUUGGAGUCAGUAAAGGUGGCCAUAGCGUAAACCUAUAGAUGGUGCUUUAAAACAAAAUCGUAUCUUUCUUAAUAGCAGUAUUUUUUAAAGCAGAGAAUAGACUGAAAGAAGUAAAUGCGGCAGAACGCUGUUCCACACUCAGGUAAAUUUUGUGGUUUAUUAAAAUGCCAAUAAUAUUUGUGCACUUGCCAGCGUCAGGGGCUUUUCCCUUAAUGGAUGCUCUCGGUGUGAUUUUUUUCCUCUUCUUUAACUGUAUCGUUACAUUGUUUAGAGAGCAUCCACCACCAGGAUUUGCCACCGUAGUGAUAACUAGCAUUAGGAAAGAAUUACCGAGAACUGAGGGUCAAACCACUUUCAUCACCUAAACGACAGGCACUAGUUCUUUAGUAUUUCUUCAGUGGCUUGGGUGUGCCCAUGUAUUCAAAGCAUUCCGCACGAAUUUUACCAGUUAAAUACCGGCUGAAAAGUCAGACCAGUCUCUCUCCGCACCUCCUCUCUCUGUAACAAUGUUUCGUUUUUGUUUUGUUUUUUUCCCAUAAUGAGCUGUCUGUGUUCUUUUGUUAUUUCAAACUUUGGUUCAAGUGGUAGCAAUGGUACACACUGUGAUGGUGGGGAGACUAGCUGGGUGAGUCUCUAGUGUGUGAUCUAAUCUUUACAUGGGUGUGCUAUCUGUGGGUGUUGAUAACUGGAACUGUACCCGGACAACACGACAGUUUCUCUCUCUUCCUGUUCCUGAUUCACUACUAUAUCAUAGUACGUGGGUAUGACCCCUGCGAGUAUCCACACCGAAGCCUAUGUAUUCCACAAUUGUAACCUGAAAGACCAUGCAUUAUCUUUUUUUAAUUCAUACUGGUGUUUGUGUUAUUUAAAGUGGAAAAUUAUACCCUAUCUAGUAGUAUAAUGUAAUAUAAUAGGAUACUCCGCUGUGCACAGUUCCAAGUGCCUUAGAACAUUGUUUAGCUUUCCUAAGUAUACGUAAAUGCAUAUAUGUGUGUAUAAAAUUGGGAAAUGUUACCUCAAUAAAGUCAUUGGGAAAUCCUA